UACGUAGGGUGCAAGCGUUAAUCGGAAUUACUGGGCGUAAAGCGUGCGCAGGCGGCUUUGCAAGUCAGAUGUGAAAUCCCCGGGCUCAACCUGGGAACUGCAUUUGUGACUGCAGCGCUGGAGUGCGGCAGAGGGGGAUGGAAUUCCGCGUGUAGCAGUGAAAUGCGUAGAUAUGCGGAGGAACACCGGUGGCGAAGGCAAUCCCCUGGGCCUGCACUGACGCUCAUGCACGAAAGCGUGGGGAGCAAACAGG
This 253-nucleotide ribosomal RNA is filed under the name uncultured bacterium. Its description in RNAcentral is "partial 16S ribosomal RNA". It matches the Rfam family "Bacterial small subunit ribosomal RNA", at positions 524 to 776 of the family's 1533-position model. The record is from RNAcentral.